AGGACGAACGCUGGCGGCAUGCCUAACACAUGCAAGUCGAACGAGACCUUCGGGUCUAGUGGCGCACGGGUGCGUAACGCGUGGGAACCUGCCCUUAGGUUCGGAAUAACUCAGAGAAAUUUGAGCUAAUACCGGAUAAUGUCUUCGGACCAAAGAUUUAUCGCCUUUGGAUGGGCCCGCGUAGGAUUAGCUUGUUGGUGGGGUAAUGGCCUACCAAGGCGACGAUCCUUAGCUGGUCUGAGAGGAUGAUCAGCCACACUGGGACUGAGACACGGCCCAGACUCCUACGGGAGGCAGCAGUGGGGAAUAUUGGACAAUGGGCGAAAGCCUGAUCCAGCAAUGCCGCGUGAGUGAUGAAGGCCUUAGGGUUGUAAAGCUCUUUUACCCGGGAUGAUAAUGACAGUACGGGAGAAUAAGCUCCGGCUAACUCCGUGCCAGCAGCCGC
RNAcentral lists this ribosomal RNA (445 nucleotides) under uncultured soil bacterium. Its description in RNAcentral is "bacterial SSU rRNA". It matches the Rfam family "Bacterial small subunit ribosomal RNA", at positions 26 to 518 of the family's 1533-position model. The record is from RNAcentral.